RNAcentral lists this unclassified non-coding RNA (288 nucleotides) under Golovinomyces monardae. RNAcentral describes it as "partial 28S-18S ribosomal RNA intergenic spacer region". The record is from RNAcentral. Lineage: Eukaryota; Fungi; Ascomycota; Leotiomycetes; Helotiales; Erysiphaceae.
UAGCCGUCUUUGGGCGUGACUGGUGGGGGGUCUCCUCCUCUUGCGGGAUGUAUGGCGCACGGAAUGACAGUCCUCUCGGGGACCCGACUUCGCGUGCGGCGGCCCAUCCUGUGGGGAACUCAGUGGGGGCAAUCGGAGAGUGAGUGAGAGUCGGUGGGCGUGCUCGUGGGGAGCCUCCGACUUCACACUCACUUCGCUAUACCAUGUGGUGUAGCGGCUUCCAGUGAACCAUUCGACCUCGCGUGCGGGGUGUCGAGGGGCGUGCCCCUCGCUACGAUAGUUACCUGG